CAGUCGCCGCGGGAAUACGUAGGUCCCGAGCGUUGUCCGGAUUUAUUGGGCGUAAAGCGAGCGCAGGCGGUUAGAUAAGUCUGUAGUUAAAGGCUGUGGCUUAACCAUAGUACGCUUUGGAAACUGUUUAACUUGAGUGCAAGAGGGGAGAGUGGAAUUCCAUGUGUAGCGGUGAAAUGCGUAGAUAUAUGGAGGAACGCCGGUGGCGAAAGCGGCUCUCUGGUCUGUAACUGACGCUGAGGCUCGAAAGCGUGGGGAGCGAACAGGAUUAGAUACCCCAGUAGUCCCUGUCUCUUAUACA
RNAcentral lists this ribosomal RNA (301 nucleotides) under uncultured bacterium. RNAcentral describes it as "partial 16S ribosomal RNA". It matches the Rfam family "Bacterial small subunit ribosomal RNA", at positions 509 to 808 of the family's 1533-position model. The record is from RNAcentral.